UUCUGCUCAAGAUUCAGAUUCCAGGGAAAGAACAUUCUCUCAGCCAAGCCUUGGAAAAGAUUAAUGAUACAAAUCACUAAUGUUUAUGGUGUGUUCAUUUUCUACCAGGCACUGUUCUAAGCACUAUAUUUACACAUAUUUUCUUCUCACAGUAACCCUGUGAGACAGAUACUAUUAUGAUUAAGAAACUGAGCUGAAGAGUUUGAAUUUCCAGUCCAAGUUUGCACAGAUGUUCUGGUGGCAGAGCUGGGAUUCAAGCUGAGGUACUAUGGUGUCCCCAUGCUAUACUCUCUCUAAUAUCAACAAGGAAGGACCAGUCCCCCAUAGCAGAAUUUUGAUGUGAUGAGGAAGAGGGAUGGAUACUAAGAGAGAAAAGCCACAGAGGCUUCCUCCUGGCUUGGUUCUGCUGGAAGGAAAGGAGAGAAUUUUUGAGGUUACUUCAUGCCCAAGAAUUCCACAUGCAAGUUUCUAGCCUUACCCUCUGGCCAUUGCAAGGAGAAAAUUUUAAAAAGCAAGGGGCUAAAAAAAUAUAUUAAAUAACGAAAGUACUAUAACAAAAGGAAUGGCUGAAAUACAGAUAUAAGAGAAUAAUUUCUGAACAAGAAACAACCAAAUGACAAAAUUCUAAGAGAAUAAAAGGCAUGCCGACAAAGGAUGAAUUGAAAGACAGCAAAGAAAAGAUUCCAAAUGCUGAAGAACUUUGAGGAACUGAAAUUGGUUGGAACAAAGCAGAGACCAAUUUCUCACAAAUAUUAAAGACCUAACGUGAUGCUCUAGGAAUUUUAAGAGGCUAAACCCAUUGUGGUUCAGAGUGAGAGUUUGGAGACAGGCUGCAGGGAUUAAAUCCUGCCUCCAGUACCACCAAGUUGUAUCACCUUGGAAAAGUUACCUGAUCUCUCUGAGGCCCAGUAUCCUUAUCUGUGCAAUUUUAAUAAUGCCGAUGUCAGAGGAAUGUUGAGAGGGUGAAACGAUGUGUAAGAAUGUGUUAAGCGUCGUGCCUGGCACAGAGCAGGUGCCUACUAAAUAUAUUAGCUGCUCAACCACUCUGUGUUAGCCCACCCAAUGUGGUCUCAGGACAAGCACACAGGAGCACCCAUGGUUGGGUGCCCGCAACCAGCCUCUCCUGGGGAAUGGUAAGCAGAGACCCUAGAGCAGCAGAGAUCUGGAUCCUGCAUGGAAGCUAGGGAAAGCUGUGCUGUCCACAGAUGAAAGCAGGCAGGCACAGCCCUCCACAGAUUGGCGAUCAGGGUGAGGAGAGGAGAAACAUCCCAGGAGUCUGAGAGAGUGCAUAGAAGAACACCAGAAACCAAGCUCUGAGACAACGGUCUGCCUAGAAUAGAAUCACAAGAACUCCUCUUUGUGUAGUUCUCGGAAAACCCCUUGAAAUUUCCAAGGAGCUGAGAACAGAGCCCUGAGCUGGCAAUUAAGACCCCUGGGUUCUGGCUUCUGCUGAUGCCAACUAGGCUCUGGGGCCCUGGGUUGUCAUUUAUACUUUCAGGGUCUCAAUUUCCUUGUCUGAAAACAUGGGGAUAAUGAUCCACCUCAAACCACAGGGCUGAAGAUGAAAUGAGGCGAUGCCUCUAUAGCACUGGGCACAUGGUAGAUGGUGAAUGAACGCUGUCCUCCCUCCCACCCAUUGUUAUGAAACAAUAACACAUCAGAGAGUCCCCGGGAGCCAGAAGAAUAUGGUAAGCGGAUGCUUUUUGAAUUCGGUCCCCAGCGCAUCCCCGUCUUCUAGGGAAUCCUUAUCUUUAACUGGCCUCACUGUCCAGGAUGACCUCUGCACCCCACCCCAUCCUACCUUGUCUACUAAAACCUUUUAUCCUUCAAAACCAAGCUGAAAUGUCACUACCUCAAGCAUCUGUUUCUGGAAAUUCCCUCAGCACAUGACUUGUUCUCUAAUUUUGUACUUAUUUCCCUCUGCCUUGGGUCAUAAUUAGUUCUUGAAGGCAGAGACCAUCUUAUUCGCCUUGGCGUUAGUCACGGUCUAGGCUGCAUCACAUAGUUCUUUUUAGCACUUUAUGCUCAUGGGGGUCUGGGAGCCUCCUGUUCCCUGAAUUCCUGUCUCCAUCUGGAACAACACCUAGUGACUCCAUUUUGGUCUCACACAAUAUUCCCCAAGAAGGGAGGAGGAAUUCUUUAGUUGGGAAAUUUAGGAACAAGAACUGAGCACCCAGGGUUGACUUAUCCAUUCAGGGUCCACAAUGCUUUUAGGGGCCUACCCUAAACCUAAAACAUGCUUUAAUUUCUUUUAAAAUAAGAAAAAAAUAGAAAUGUUUCAGAUAGGUCAAAGAAUGUGUUUUAAAAUAUAAUAUUAAUAUAUUCACCUUAAUGCCAAUGCAUAUAUAGAUUUUAAUAUUUUUUUAUGGAAGAAGGGGCCCCGGAAGGUUGAAAGUGCCUCUGACAGACACAAGUCAGGAUGCAGCUCCAUGGUCAAGGGUAGCCCAGCCCGUCCCUCCCUUCCUCCUGUGGAGCUGCCUUGCCUGUGGGCUUGCUCCUCCAUGCUCACUACUUGACAGGGGUAUAUCCAUCCAGCAUUGCCAGGUGACUGGGGAGAAAAGCCAAGCUGCCAUACCCCCUAAGCUAAGCCUUUCAUCAAUAAGAAAAGAUAUUGACCUCCUUACUCCUGGUCCCUGUACCAUUUUCUCCCAUUUUUCCUAGCUUGAGCAGAGAAUGGGGAUAUCAUUUAUUGGCCCCUUGAGAUCAUUAUAUUAAUCCUUUAAAUGACCUUGUCGGGUGAGUAUGAUCUUUAGUCAACAGAGGAAGGCACUCAAGAACAGAGAGGUUAAAGAAUUUGGUCGAUGUCAAGCAGUUAACAAACAGGUUUAGAACCCAGACUUUUGGACUCCAACUUAAAGUUCCUUUCUUUUACUGCACUCUGUACGGUUAUCAGGCAGCACAGAACUUGGUUGAAAUUUUCCAAAAUUGUUGACUUGGCAAUUAUAAGCUUCAGGUGAGACCUUUAACUUUCACCAUUCCCUCAAUAAAUAAUAAAGUUGCAAUCUAUUUUCCUGCCUUGAAGAAGCACCAUCAGUUGGAAUAUAUUUUGACAUUAUCUUCUGCUGUCUUUGUAAGGAACAGAUUAGGGGGAAAGAUCCUUUACUUGUCAGAGUACUUAGGAAAAAAUAUAAUGUUUGGUUUUCAUGGAGACAAGGAGAAAUAUGAAUAAUCAUGUACUUUUUUUGAAAUUAAAUUUCUAUCCCAGGAGGCCAACACUCAUGAUUAGCCCUUUCUACUGCCUCUGGCCUGCAAUCUUCUGCACUGAGCCUUAGAAAGGGAAAGAGGCUUGAGAUGAAACUGACGAAUGGCUGUGCUUGUGCUAUUAUUCCAACAGGAAUCUGUUUCCUCUCAAACAAAGGCUCAGUAGUAGAUCACUGAUCAAGUUUAGAAUCUUCAAACAUUUGCCAAAUGAAAUGUUUUGGAGAGAAGAGAAUCUCCUGCUCUCCUUGUCAGAUGGAAUUCCAAGACUCUUGGGCAAGAUGAAGUAAAGGAUUUGCAGAAGGAGGGUCCCGAAUUUCCACAUCGAAUUGCCACACAUUCCUGCUUCACCUUGUUCCUACCCACUGACCCCAGCUAAGGUUAAGUUCGAAUCACCCAAGUGCCUACAGCCCCUUCACAGCAGAUUCAGACAAGGUGUUGGGUAAGCCAGGUGAUGUUUUCUAAACUAGACUUAUGUUCACAAAAUAUUCUAGAAUGUGGCUUCACAAAUACAGGUGAACCAUCUGGCCAGCCUCGGUUUGCUCUCUUUGCUGUGAGUGCUAGAAAUGUUGCAUUCUCUUCUCUCACUCAGGUUUCACACACGUAAUAAACUCUUUUUUCUGCCCCUUCAUCCUAUGAGACUGUGAGCUCCAUGAAGAUAAGGGCAAAGUCUGUCUUGUUUACAGCUUUGAACAGUGUGUGGCUGUACAGAUCAGAGGUUAAAAGCCUGGGUUCGAGGCAAAGACAGACCAGGGUUUGAAUUUUACCGAGCUACUGACUCAUUGCCUGACUUACAGUGAUUCCUAUUACUCAGUUUUUUCCCAAGUAAAAGGGGGUGAUAAAAGUUCUUAUGUCACUGAGCUGUUGUGAAGGUUAAAUUAGCCCACACAUGUAAAGCAUUUACGUUGGCCCCUGGCACUUUAUGGGUGCUUAGUAAAUAUUCAUACUGCUAUUAUAUUAAGCACCAAAUGAGUAUUUUGUGUCAAGUCCUUUUUUUAAUGAGAGUGAGCUCAGGCAAGAGGAAUGCAUGAGACUAAGGGAAAUUCUUCUCCAGCCAAGUGGGAUGUUUCCUGAUUGGCUUCUGGGGGGGUCCUUACCUGAAGCCACAGGGGCGCAUGAGCAGAUCCUAAGUAGUCCUGGGGCGCCAGCACCUGUGAUGUUAACUCUCACCUCCCUCUGCACGCACCCCCAGAGCAGCCAGAACUGAGACCCUUUGUGCCCCCAAGAACCUGAUCCAGGGAGAUGGGCAAGACGAAGUAAAGGAUUUGCAGAAGGAGAGUCCCGAAUUUCCACAUCGAAUUGCCACACAUUCCUGCCUCACUUUGUGGGUCAGCACAGGGGCAGGACUGCAAUUGGGAAGGGAGCUGUCUUCCAAAUGGAGAUUGUGUGUGUGUGUGUGUUGUCAGGGGUACAGGUUGAGAUGAGGGACCAAUGUAAGGGUGCCCCAGUAUUAAAACACUGAGACACGCAGUACAAAUGUGGUGAAUUGGAUAGUUUUGUGAAACUAAAGGUAAUGAGGUCUACACACACGAAAGGUGUUACCCAAGUGUCAAAGUACUUGAUUGUCCUCAAAAGACUAAAUUGUCCCAGAUUUGAACAUUUUCUGGCAUUGCCUAGUUGUAGUCGGUCCUAUGAAAUAUCCAAGAAGCACUAGAACUCAACCACAAACAAAAAUCUAAAAUGCUGCAUUUAAAAACAUGUAUUAGAAGGGGUUCCCUUUGUGGCGCAGGGGAAACGAAUCCGACUAGUACCCAUGAGGAUGCAGGUUUGAUCCCUGGCCUCGCUCAGUGGGUUAAGGAUCUGGCAUUGCUGUGAGCUCUGGUGUAGGUUGCAGACACGGCUCGGAUCCCACGUUGCUGUGACUGUGGCGUAGGCCAGCAGCUGUAGCUUCAGUUUGACCCCUAGCCCCAGAACUUCCAUAUGCCUCAGGUGCCG
This 5133-nucleotide long non-coding RNA is filed under the name Sus scrofa (pig). RNAcentral describes it as "lncRNA (ENSSSCG00000059262.1, ENSSSCG00090015519.1)". The record is from RNAcentral. Lineage: Eukaryota; Metazoa; Chordata; Mammalia; Artiodactyla; Suidae.